RNAcentral lists this ribosomal RNA (371 nucleotides) under uncultured bacterium. RNAcentral's name for it is "bacterial SSU rRNA". It matches the Rfam family "Bacterial small subunit ribosomal RNA", at positions 527 to 896 of the family's 1533-position model. The record is from RNAcentral.
GGAGGGCGCAAGCGUUGUUCGGAAUCAUUGGGCGUAAAGCGCGUGUAGGCGGCUUGGCAAGUCGGAUGUGAAAUCCCGGGGCUCAACCCCGGAACUGCAUUCGAAACUGCCUCGCUAGAGUCCCGGAGAGGAGGGCGGAAUUCCUGGUGUAGAGGUGAAAUUCGUAGAUAUCGGGAGGAACACCAGUGGCGAAGGCGGCCCUCUGGACGGUGACUGACGCUGAGAUGCGAAAGCGUGGGGAGCAAACAGGAUUAGAUACCCUGGUAGUCCACGCUGUAAACGUUGGGUGCUAGGUGUCGCGGGUAUUGACCCCUGCGGUGCCGACGCUAACGCAUUUAGCACCCCGCCUGGGGAGUACGGUCGCAAGGCUA